RNAcentral lists this ribosomal RNA (427 nucleotides) under uncultured bacterium. RNAcentral describes it as "partial 16S ribosomal RNA". It matches the Rfam family "Bacterial small subunit ribosomal RNA", at positions 354 to 796 of the family's 1533-position model. The record is from RNAcentral.
GUGAGGAAUCUUCCACAAUGGGCGAAAGCCUGAUGGAGCAACGCCGCGUGCAGGAUGAAGGCCUUCGGGUCGUAAACUGCUUUUAUUUGUGAAGAAUAUGACGGUAACAAAUGAAUAAGGAUCGGCUAACUACGUGCCAGCAGCCGCGGUCAUACGUAGGAUCCAAGCGUUAUCCGGAGUGACUGGGCGUAAAGAGUUGCGUAGGUGGUUUGUAAAGCGAAUAGUGAAAUCUGGCGGCUCAACCGUACAGGCUAUUAUUCGAACUCACAAACUCGAGAAUGGUAGAGGUAACUGGAAUUUCUUGUGUAGGAGUGAAAUCCGUAGAUAUAAGAAGGAACACCAAUGGCGUAGGCAGGUUACUGGGCCAUUUCUGACGCUAAGGCACGAAAGCGUGGGGAGCGAACCGGAUUAGAUACCCUGGUAGUCC